Molecule: unclassified non-coding RNA, 1643 nt
Filed under: Hevea brasiliensis (rubber tree)
Lineage: Eukaryota; Viridiplantae; Streptophyta; Magnoliopsida; Malpighiales; Euphorbiaceae
Source: RNAcentral
AUAAACAUGGUCUUCAUUCUGAUGCCUUAGAAUAGAAAGUGGCAUCCAAAAAUCGCAAAUUUGACCUAAAAAUUAGCUACAAGAAUUUGACCAAUACCAGCUUCCUCAAAGCUCGAUUACGGGAAGAAAGGCGAACAAAAGAGCCAGAGCGGGAGAGACAAACACAAACAGCCUAGCCAGUUACCGCUUAGGCGAAUUUUCGCAGCAAUGGGAAGUAAAGAGCGAGCCAAGGAAAGAAGAGAAAAGAGACGUCAAGAGAUUUCACUCCUCCGAACUAUUCCCUACUCCGAUCAUCAAAGGUGGUGGUCCUCAGAAACUGUUGCUGUGGUGACCGGUGCUAAUAGAGGAAUAGGAUUUGAGAUUGUAAGACAACUUGCAGACCAUGGAUUGACAGUUGUAUUGACAUCAAGAGAAAGUAGCGCUGGCCUUGAAGCUGUUAAUGUCUUGCAAGAGUCAGGUCUGAGUGUGGUCUUCCAUCAACUUGAUGUCUUAGAUUCUUUGUCUAUCAAACAGUUUACUGAAUGGAUACAACAAACCUAUGGUGUUAUUGAUAUUCUGGUGAACAAUGCCGGUGUGAAUUACAACACGGGGUCUGAUAAUUCUGUUGAAUUUGCUCGUAUGGUUAUUGAUACCAACUAUUAUGGCACUAAAAAUGUGACUAAAGCUAUGAUUCCUUUGAUGAGGUCUUCUACUGCAGGUGCUCGUAUUGUUAAUGUGAGCUCACGGCUGGGUAGAAUAAAUGGCAGACGAAAUAGAAUUGAAGAUGCAACUUUGAGAGAACAAUUAACUGACAUUGAAACACUAUCAGAAGAACUCAUUGAAAGGACUCUAUCUAAUUUCCUACAGCAAGUGGAAGAGGGCACUUGGACAUCAGGUGGGUGGCCUCAGACAUUCACUGACUACUCGGUGUCAAAACUUGCGGUUAAUGCUUUCACUAGGUUGAUGUCAAAGGAACUGUCAGACCGGCCUGAAGAUCAGAAGAUCUAUGUCAACUGCUACUGUCCAGGUUGGGUAAAGACUGCCAUGACGGGUUGGGCUGGUAAUAUAUCAACGGGGGAUGCAGCUGACACUGGAGUAUGGCUUGCCCUGCUUCCAGAUAUGUCCGUGUCAGGAAAAUUUUUUGCAGAGAGGCGGGAAAUAAAGUUUUGAGGCAAUCCUAUGAUACCUAUUACUUGGUCUUUGACUGUGAACCAAUUCUUAUGUCCUUGAUUGAGAACAGAUCUGCAACAUUCAUAGGGGGAAAGCUUAAAUCCUGUGAGGGGGUAAUCCUUGUAUUUUCCAACAAGGGGAUGUGCCUUGCAGAUUCUACUCAUACGAGUGAAAGCAGGCUAUUUCACUAUUGGAAUCUACAAGGGUAUGGCGAGAUCUUUAAAAUUUUAAAUUUCCAUUGAAAAUCAUGAUAUGUUAAUUAACAUUUUGUGAGCACAUGAUUGCCCUCAAACGCCCAAUCAUCUGAGAUUUAAACCUUGAUUAAGUUGAGUCUUCCCCAUCAGGUUUUUAUUUUAUUUUAUUUUUAAUUUUUCCCUUAUUGUUACCAUGCAAUUUUUAAGCAUGGGAUUUGUGGUCUUAGUUUGUACAUGAUGCACGUGUAUGCAAUCUGUUUCUGUGCUAUGAGAAUUUGCCCCAAAUUCAGAUUGAUUUGC